UACGGGGGGGGCGAGCGUUGUUCGGAAUUACUGGGCGUAAAGGGUUUGUGGGUGGUCUGCUAAGUCAGACGUGAAAUCCCUCAGCUUAACUGGGGAACUGCGUCUGAUACUGGCGGACUUGAGGACAGGAGAGGAACGCGGAAUUCCAGGUGUAGCGGUGAAAUGCGUAGAUAUCUGGAGGAACACCGGUGGCGAAGGCGGCGUUCUGGACUGUUUCUGACACUGAAAAACGAAAGCCAGGGGAGCAAACGGG
This 253-nucleotide ribosomal RNA is filed under the name uncultured bacterium. RNAcentral's name for it is "partial 16S ribosomal RNA". It matches the Rfam family "Bacterial small subunit ribosomal RNA", at positions 524 to 776 of the family's 1533-position model. The record is from RNAcentral.